AUUGAACGCUGGCGGCAUGCUUUACACAUGCAAGUCGAACGGCAGCGCGGGCUUCGGCCUGGCUGCGAGUGGCGAACGGGUGAGUAAUGCAUCGGAACGUGCCCAGUAGUGGGGGAUAGCCCGGCGAAAGCCGGAUUAAUACCGCAUACGACCUGAGGGUGAAAGCGGGGGACCGAAAGGCCUCGCGCUAUUGGAGCGGCCGAUGUCGGAUUAGCUAGUUGGUGGGGUAAAGGCUUACCAAGGCGACGAUCCGUAGCUGGUCUGAGAGGACGACCAGCCACACUGGGACUGAGACACGGACAAGACUACUACGGGAGGCAGCAGUGGGGAAUUUUGGACAAUGGGGGCAAACCUGAUACAGCCAUGCCGCGUGAGGGAAGAAGGCCUUCGGGUUGUAAAACGCUUUUGUUCGGGAAGAAAUCCUCUGGGCUAAUACCCCGGGGGGAUGACGGUACCGGAAGAAUAAGCACCGGCUAACUACGUG
Molecule: ribosomal RNA, 484 nt
Filed under: uncultured bacterium
Lineage: Bacteria
Description: partial 16S ribosomal RNA
Rfam family: Bacterial small subunit ribosomal RNA
Source: RNAcentral